Molecule: ribosomal RNA, 253 nt
Filed under: uncultured prokaryote
Description: partial 16S ribosomal RNA
Rfam family: Bacterial small subunit ribosomal RNA
Source: RNAcentral
UACGUAGGGUGCGAGCGUUAAUCGGAAUUACUGGGCGUAAAGCGUGCGCAGGCGGCUUUGCAAGUCAGACGUGAAAGCCCCGGGCUUAACCUGGGAAUGGCGUUUGAAACUACGGAGCUAGAGUAUGGCAGAGGGGGGUGGAAUUCCACGUGUAGCGGUGAAAUGCGUAGAUAUGCGGAGGAACACCGAUGGCGAAGGCAAUCCCCUGGACCUGUACUGACGCUCAUGCACGAAAGCGUGGGGAGCAAACAGG